UACGAAGGGGGCUAGCGUUGUUCGGAAUUACUGGGCGUAAAGCGCACGUAGGCGGACUUUUAAGUCAGGUGUGAAAUCCCGGGGCUCAACCUCGGAACUGCAUUUGAAACUGGGAGUCUUGAGACCAGGAGAGGUUAGCGGAAUAUCGAGUGUAGAGGUGAAAUUCGUAGAUAUUCGGUGGAACACCAGUGGCGAAGGCGGCUAACUGGACUGGUACUGACGCUGAGGUGCGAAAGUGUGGGGAGCAAACAGG
RNAcentral lists this ribosomal RNA (253 nucleotides) under uncultured bacterium. RNAcentral's name for it is "partial 16S ribosomal RNA". It matches the Rfam family "Bacterial small subunit ribosomal RNA", at positions 524 to 776 of the family's 1533-position model. The record is from RNAcentral.